GAUUAACGUCGCUCUUUUCAGCUUCAACUGUUUGCUUUUGUGACUUCGCCCUGCAUUCACGGCGACAACAGAUAAAAGACGAACAAAGCGGGGAGGAAAGAAACAUUAAAGGCUCACCUGUGGGCAGCGGGAGGGUCAUCCCCUGCCGAGGUCGCGUAUACGAGAAAGGCCUCAUGCCAGGCUCUGAGGUGUCAUACCCGGUGCGGUACCUGUCCGGGUUCUGGGCGGCCCUGCGGUACCGCUCCGCCUCCCUCUCUGAGUAGGGAGGCAAAGAAUCCUCAUCUUCUGGACGGUUGCUAGGCGAUCGGCUGUAGUAGCUGCUGCCUUUCCCUCUGGAGCUGCCUUUGGAGGGGGUGUCACUGUCCUCAUCCGCUCUGCCUCUGUCGCCGCCGGGCCUCCUCGCUUUGUUCUCCAGCACGUGGUUGAGGAAGGCGUCGUCGUAAUCCCGGGGACGGGGCGGUCGGGAGGCGAGUUCGCUGUCCCACGUGCCCCUUCUUUUCUGCGGUAAAGGAGAGGGGCUGCGACGAGCCCAGCCGUCAUCCACGUCUCUGUAGGAACGUCUCGGAGGGCUGUAAUCACGGACCUCUAGCGCCUCUGGACGGCGGCUACGGGAACCGUACGAGCGGGCAAAUUCCUCCAGCUCGUCCAGCGAACCGGUGUGCCCUCUUCUGCUCAGAGUUUUUCUCUGGAGGUGCUCUGAGUGAGUGUUCCAUCUGUGGCAAUGAACGGGACAAAUGGAUAAAGACCAACAUGCGCUCAUCGUCCGAGUGGUUGUCACGAUCCCGGAGCCUGUGUCUGCGGCUUUGGGCGGGCGGGGCCCCUCCCAGCAUCGACCGGUCAUCGGCGUCGGCGAUGGGAGGCAGCGCCUUCAUCUGGACGGUCUGGUAGGUGUGUCUGAAAUCUGUAUUUCCUCCCUCGUGGAGAGAGCUGAGCUCUGAUAGGCUUCUGGCUGUUUGGACACACGCAUUAGAUGUUGAAUUAUGACGUGGAAAUGUCGCUAACAAUGUACAGUGGAACCUCUAGGGUGGAAUUUGUUUGGAUUAAGAAACAAUCGAAGUGGAGAAAAUAAGAUGUCACCUUUUAUUAAAACCGCCAAGUGCGUGUAAAAAGAAGCUAACCACAAUAAACUGUUCAUGUGAAAGUUAUAGCACA
This is a long non-coding RNA of Nerophis lumbriciformis (worm pipefish), 1152 nucleotides long. RefSeq lists it as uncharacterized. The record is from RefSeq and is a predicted model, not a curated record. Lineage: Eukaryota; Metazoa; Chordata; Actinopteri; Syngnathiformes; Syngnathidae.